This 578-nucleotide ribosomal RNA is filed under the name Tausonia pullulans. RNAcentral's name for it is "eukaryotic LSU rRNA". It matches the Rfam family "Eukaryotic large subunit ribosomal RNA", at positions 93 to 654 of the family's 3401-position model. Lineage: Eukaryota; Fungi; Basidiomycota; Tremellomycetes; Cystofilobasidiales; Mrakiaceae. The record is from RNAcentral.
GUGAAGCGGGAUGAGCUCAAAUUUANAAUCUGGNGGUCUCAGAUCGUCCGAGUUGUAGUCUAGAGAAGCGUUUUCCGUGCUGGCCUGUGUACAAGUCCGUUGGAACACGGCGUCAUAGAGGGUGAGAAUCCCGUCCUUGACACAGAUCUCCAGUGCUUUGUGAUGCGCUCUCAAAAGAGUCGAGUUGUUUGGGAAUGCAGCUCAAAAUGGGUGGUAAAUUCCAUCUAAAGCUAAAUAUUGGCGAGAAACCGAUAGCGAACAAGUACCGUGAGGGAAAGAUGAAAAGCACUUUGGAAAGAGAGUUAAACAGUACGUGAAAUUGUUGAAAGGGAAACGAUUGAAGUCAGUCAUGCUUUCCGAGACUCAGCCGGUUCUGCCGGUGUACUUCUCGGUUUGCAGGCCAGCAUCAGUUUUGGGCGGUGGAAAAGGUUGGCGGGAAUGUGGCAUCCUCGGAUGUGUUAUAGCCCGCUUUCGAAUACAUCGCCCGGGACUGAGGAACGCAGCACGCCUCUUGUAGGUCGGUCUUCGGACACGUCCGUGCUUAGGAUGCUGGCAUAAUGGCUUUAAACGACCCGUCU